GACGAACGCUGGCGGCGUGCUUAACACAUGCAAGUCGAACGGAAAGGCCCUGCUUUUGUGGGGUGCUCGAGUGGCGAACGGGUGAGUAACACGUGAUUAACCUGCCCUUGACUUUGGGAUAACUUCAGGAAACUGGGGCUAAUACCGGAUAGGGGCUCCUGCGGCAUGGGGGGGGUUGGAAAGUUUCGGCGGUUGGGGAUGGACUCGCGGCUUAUCAGCUUGUUGGUGGGGUAGUGGCUUACCAAGGCUUUGACGGGUAGCCGGCCUGAGAGGGUGACCGGCCACAUUGGGACUGAGAUACGGCCCAGACUCCUACGGGAGGCAGCAGUGGGGAAUAUUGCACAAUGGGCGGAAGCCUGAUGCAGCAACGCCGCGUGCGGGAUGACGGCCUUCGGGUUGUAAACCGCUUUCGCCUGUGACGAAGCGUGAGUGACGGUAAUGGGUAAAGAAGCACCGGCUAACUACGUG
RNAcentral lists this ribosomal RNA (468 nucleotides) under uncultured bacterium. RNAcentral's name for it is "partial 16S ribosomal RNA". It matches the Rfam family "Bacterial small subunit ribosomal RNA", at positions 28 to 507 of the family's 1533-position model. The record is from RNAcentral.